GACGAACGCUGGCGGCGUGCUUAACACAUGCAAGUCGAACGGAAAGGCCCUGCUUUUGUGGGGUGCUCGAGUGGCGAACGGGUGAGUAACACGUGAGUAACCUGCCCUUGACUUUGGGAUAACUUCAGGAAACUGGGGCUAAUACCGGAUAGGAGCUCCUGCUGCAUGGUGGGGGUGGGAAAGUUUCGGCGGUUGGGGAUGGACUCGCGGCUUAUCAGCUUGUUGGUGGGGUAGUGGCUUACCAAGGCUUUGACGGGUAGCCGGCCUGAGAGGGUGACCGGCCACAUUGGGACUGAGAUACGGCCCAGCCUCCUACGGGAGGCAGCAGUGGGGAAUAUUGCACAAUGGGCGGAAGCCUGAUGCAGCAACGCCGCGUGCGGGAUGACGGCCUUCGGGUUGUAUACCGCUUUCGCCUGUGACGAAGCGUGAGUGACGGUAAUGGGUAAAGAAGCACCGGCUAACUACGUG
Molecule: ribosomal RNA, 468 nt
Filed under: uncultured bacterium
Lineage: Bacteria
Description: partial 16S ribosomal RNA
Rfam family: Bacterial small subunit ribosomal RNA
Source: RNAcentral